GGGUGGUGCAAUUAGUUGUGAGGGGUUUAGUGGUGUUACUGCUAAUAAUACAGAGAGCUUAGUAAGCUCACCUCUCU
RNAcentral lists this transfer RNA (77 nucleotides) under Scutogyrus longicornis. RNAcentral describes it as "tRNA-Ser". The record is from RNAcentral. Lineage: Eukaryota; Metazoa; Platyhelminthes; Monogenea; Dactylogyridea; Ancyrocephalidae.